UACAGAGGCCUCGAGCGUUAGGCGGAAUCACUGGGCUUAAAGCGUGUGUAGGUGGAUGCCUAAGUACCUUGUGAAAUCCCACAGCUUAACUGUGGAAUUGCUUGGUAUACUGGGUGUCUUGAGCCACUCAGGGGCUACCGGAACAAGCGGUGGAGCGGUGAAAUGCGUAGAUAUCGCUUGGAACGCCAAUGGUGAAAACAGGUAGCUGGGGGUGUGCUGACACUGAGACACGAAAGCCAGGGAGCAAACGGG
This 252-nucleotide ribosomal RNA is filed under the name uncultured bacterium. RNAcentral's name for it is "partial 16S ribosomal RNA". It matches the Rfam family "Bacterial small subunit ribosomal RNA", at positions 524 to 776 of the family's 1533-position model. The record is from RNAcentral.